Molecule: transfer RNA, 70 nt
Filed under: Cavia porcellus (domestic guinea pig)
Lineage: Eukaryota; Metazoa; Chordata; Mammalia; Rodentia; Caviidae
Rfam family: tRNA
About the family: Transfer RNA (tRNA) molecules are approximately 80 nucleotides in length.
Source: Rfam by way of RNAcentral
GGUGAUUUAGCUUAGCGGCAUAAGCGCCUGCCUUGCAAGCAGGCAGUCGUGAGUUCGAUCUCUGGUACCG